GCUUGCUGGGUGGAUUAGUGGCGAACGGGUGAGUAACACGUGAGUAACCUGCCCUUGACUUCGGGAUAACUCCGGGAAACCGGGGCUAAUACCGGAUAUGAGCCGCCUUCGCAUGGGGGUGGUUGGAAAGUUUUUCGGUCAGGGAUGGGCUCGCGGCCUAUCAGCUUGUUGGUGGGGUGAUGGCCUACCAAGGCGACGACGGGUAGCCGGCCUGAGAGGGCGACCGGCCACACUGGGACUGAAACACGGCCCAGACUCCUACGGGAGGCAGCAGUGGGGAAUAUUGCACAAUGGGCGAAAGCCUGAUGCAGCGACGCCGCGUGAGGGAUGAAGGCCUUCGGGUUGUAAACCUCUUUCAGCAGGGAAGAAGCGCAAGUGACGGUACCUGCAGAAGAAGCGCCGGCUAACUACGUGCCAGCAGCCGCGGUAAUACGUAGGGCGCAAGCGUUGUCCGGAAUUAUUGGGCGUAAAGAGCUCGUAGGCGGUUUGUCGCGUCUGGUGUGAAAACUCGAGGCUCAACCUCAAGCUUGCAUCGGGUACGGGCAGACUAGAGUGCGGUAGGGGAGACUGGAAUUCCUGGUGUAGCGGUGGAAUGCGCAGAUAUCAGGAGGAACACCCGAUGGCGAAGGCAGGUCUCUGGGCCGCAACUGACGCUGAGGAGCGAAAGCAUGGGGAGCGAACAGGAUUAGAUACCCUGGUAGUCCAUGCCGUAAACGUUGGGCACUAGGUGUGGGGCUCAUUCCACGAGUUCCGUGCCGCAGCAAACGCAUUAAGUGCCCCGCCUGGGGAGUACGGCCGCAAGGCUAAAACUCAAAGGAAUUGACGGGGGCCCGCACAAGCGGCGGAGCAUGCGGAUUAAUUUGAUGCAACGCGAAGAACCUUACCAAGGCUUGACAUGCACGAGAAGCCACCAGAGAUGGUGGUCUCUUUGGACACUCGUGCACAGGUGGUGCAUGGUUGUCGUCAGCUCGUGUCGUGAGAUGUUGGGUUAAGUCCCGCAACGAGCGCAACCCUCGUCCCAUGUUGCCAGCGGGUUAUGCCGGGGACUCAUGGGAGACUGCCGGGGUCAACUCGGAGGAAGGUGGGGAUGACGUCAAAUCAUCAUGCCCCUUAUGUCUUGGGCUUCACGCAUGCUACAAUGGCCGGUACAAAGGGCUGCGAUACCGUAAGGUGGAGCGAAUCCCAAAAAGCCGGUCUCAGUUCGGAUUGGGGUCUGCAACUCGACCCCAUGAAGUCGGAGUCGCUAGUAAUCGCAGAUCAGCAACGCUGCGGUGAAUACGUUCCCGGGCCUUGUACACACCGCCCGUCAAGUCACGAAAGUCGGUAACACCCGAAGCCCAUGGA
Molecule: ribosomal RNA, 1344 nt
Filed under: Cellulosimicrobium cellulans
Lineage: Bacteria; Bacillati; Actinomycetota; Actinomycetes; Micrococcales; Promicromonosporaceae
Description: bacterial SSU rRNA
Rfam family: Bacterial small subunit ribosomal RNA
Source: RNAcentral